CUACUAUAUUAAUGAAUGUAAUCCCUCCCUUGCAUGGGAGCAUGCUUUAAAAGACCAGUGUGGUCUAAAGCUUUCAGUUCUGCUCCUGAAACUGUGUGUUGUCCAGUUAUUGGGAUUGCUGUGGGGAUACUGUUAUUUUGCCAGCUGGAAACCUUGCCUGUGGAUUUACAAUUUACUUGUUCCUGAGCCUCACUUGGAUUAUAAGCGGAGAUAACCUGGGGAAUAUUGCAUCUCCGCUACAAUAGGGAUCUCAGGAUUUUGAUGUGUACUAAUAGUGCCCACUCUUUUG
Molecule: non-coding RNA, 289 nt
Organism: Pelobates cultripes (western spadefoot toad)
Lineage: Eukaryota; Metazoa; Chordata; Amphibia; Anura; Pelobatidae
Source: the annotation of a GenBank genome assembly